RNAcentral lists this ribosomal RNA (450 nucleotides) under uncultured bacterium. RNAcentral's name for it is "partial 16S ribosomal RNA". It matches the Rfam family "Bacterial small subunit ribosomal RNA", at positions 354 to 796 of the family's 1533-position model. The record is from RNAcentral.
GUGGGGAAUAUUGGACAAUGGGCGAAAGCCUGAUCCAGCAAUGCCGCGUGCAGGAUGAAGGCCCUCGGGUUGUAAACUGCUUUUGUACGGAACGAAAAGCCUGGGGCUAAUAUCCCCGGGUCAUGACGGUACCGUAAGAAUAAGCACCGGCUAACUACGUGCCAGCAGCCGCGGUAAUACGUAGGGUGCAAGCGUUAAUCGGAAUUACUGGGCGUAAAGCGUGCGCAGGCGGUUUUGUAAGACAGUGGUGAAAUCCCCGGGCGCAACCUGGGAACUGCCAUUGUGACUGCAAGGCUAGAGUGCGGCAGAGGGGGAUGGAAUUCCGCGUGUAGCAGUGAAAUGCGUAGAUAUGCGGAGGAACACCGAUGGCGAAGGCAAUCCCCUGGGCCUGCACUGACGCUCAUGCACGAAAGCGUGGGGAGCAAACAGGAUUAGAAACCCGGGUAGUCC